GAUGAACGCUGGCGGCGUGCCUAAUACAUGCAAGUCGAGCGAAUGGAUUAAGAGCUUGCUCUUAUGAAGUUAGCGGCGGACGGGUGAGUAACACGUGGGUAAGCUGCCCAUAAGACUGGGAUAACUCCGGGAAACCGGGGCUAAUACCGGAUAACAUUUUGAACCGCAUGGUUCGAAAUUGAAAGGCGGCGUCGGCGGUCACUUAUGGAUGGACCCGCGGCGCAUUAGCUAGUUGGUGAGGGAACGGCUCACCAAGGCAACGAUGCGUAGCCGACCUGAGAGGGUGAUCGGCCACACUGGGACUGAGACACGGCCCAGACUCCUACGGGAGGCAGCAGUAGGGAAUCUUCCGCAAUGGACGAAAGUCUGACGGAGCAACGCCGCGUGAGUGAUGAAGGCUUUCGGGUCGUAAAACUCUGUUGUUAGGGAAGAACAAGUGCUAGUUGAAUAAGCUGGCACCUUGACGGUACCUAACCAGAAAGCCACGGCUAACUACGUGCCAGCCGCCGCCGUAA
RNAcentral lists this ribosomal RNA (515 nucleotides) under uncultured bacterium. RNAcentral describes it as "partial 16S ribosomal RNA". It matches the Rfam family "Bacterial small subunit ribosomal RNA", at positions 28 to 523 of the family's 1533-position model. The record is from RNAcentral.